Molecule: long non-coding RNA, 282 nt
Organism: Hypanus sabinus (Atlantic stingray)
Lineage: Eukaryota; Metazoa; Chordata; Chondrichthyes; Myliobatiformes; Dasyatidae
Exons: 3
Source: RefSeq, a predicted model, not a curated record
GUGCAACCAACACAUCAAACUGUCAACAAAUCUGCAACAACACAAUCGGAAGCUUCACGUGCAGUUGUAAUCCAGGUUUCCGCAUCAACGUCACCAAUAAUUCACUUUGUGAUGACAUCGAUGAAUGUGCAAGCAACACAUCAAACUGUCAGCAGAUCUGCAACAACACAAUCGGAAGCUUCUUGUGCAGUUGUAAUCCAGGAUUCAGCAUCAAUGUGAACAAUACUUCACUAUGUGAAGACAUCGACGAAUGUGCAACCAACACAUCAAACUGUCAACAAA